AUGAGGGCGUCAUCUUCGCCCGCUACGCCGGCGGCUCGUGCGACCGCAGCGUGGGCCGUCGUACUGCUCGCCGCGCUCUGCUCCGUCUCCCUGGCGUCCGCGUCCGUCGACUCCGUCUCCCUCGCGCCCGCCUCCGUCUCUCUCGCGCCCGCCUCCGUCGACGCAGGAUUCUCGCCGACGCCCGCCGCUCCCGCCCCUACCCCCGGCUCCUCGGCGGCUCCUCCGCGCCCGCCAUAUCGCGCCGUCCUUCCCCGCAAGGUCCUCCGCCCGGCAGGCACGGACGUGGACCUCGGCGGAGUCCGGCCCCACCGCGUGGACGAGGGUUGCACCGGCAAGGAGGACAUCGCCAUCUACCAGGGCCGGGGGACAAAGCUGCCGAGCGGGGUGCCGGCGUACACGGUGGACGUGAUGAACCGGUGCUCGGGCGGCAACGGCGACUGCGCGAUCGCUGGCAUCCAUGUGCGGUGCGGCUGGUUCAGCUCCGUCAGCCUGGUGGACCCGCGCAAGUUCCGGCGGCUCGCGCGCGACGACUGCCUCCUCAACGACGGCCAGCCACUCCUCGCCGGCGAGACCAUCUCGUUCGAGUACUCCAACUCGUUCCCCUACCAGCUUUCCGUCGCCGUCGCCACCUGCGUCGACCCGGCCGCGGCCACCUCCCCGUAG
Molecule: ribosomal RNA, 663 nt
Filed under: Triticum aestivum (bread wheat)
Lineage: Eukaryota; Viridiplantae; Streptophyta; Magnoliopsida; Poales; Poaceae
Description: partial small subunit ribosomal RNA
Source: RNAcentral